RNAcentral lists this ribosomal RNA (741 nucleotides) under uncultured bacterium. RNAcentral describes it as "bacterial SSU rRNA". It matches the Rfam family "Bacterial small subunit ribosomal RNA", at positions 154 to 891 of the family's 1533-position model. The record is from RNAcentral.
AAAGUUGCGCUAAUACCGCAUACGAUCUAAGGAUGAAAGCAGGGGACCGCAAGGCCUUGUGCUCCUGGAGCGGCCGAUAUCUGAUUAGCUAGUUGGUGGGGUAAAGGCCUACCAAGGCAUCGAUCAGUAGCUGGUCUGAGAGGACGACCAGCCACACUGGAACCGAGACACGGUCCAGACUCCUACGGGAGGCAGCAGUGGGGAAUUUUGGACAAUGGGCGCAAGCCUGAUCCAGCAAUGCCGCGUGAGUGAAGAAGGCCUUCGGGUUGUAAAGCUCUUUUGUCAGGGAAGAAACGGUAUGGGCUAAUAUCCCGUACUAAUGACGGUACCUGAAGAAUAAGCACCGGCUAACUACGUGCCAGCAGCCGCGGUAAUACGUAGGGUGCAAGCGUUAAUCGGAAUUACUGGGCGUAAAGCGUGCGCAGGCGGUUUUAUAAGUUUGUCGUGAAAGCCCCGGGCUCAACCUGGGAAUGGCGAUGAAGACUGUAAGGCUAGAGUGUGUCAGAGGGGGGUAGAAUUCCACGUGUAGCAGUGAAAUGCGUAGAUAUGUGGAGGAACACCGAUGGCGAAGGCAGCCCCCUGGGAUAACACUGACGCUCAUGCACGAAAGCGUGGGGAGCAAACAGGAUUAGAUACCCUGGUAGUCCACGCCCUAAACGAUGUCUACUAGUUGUCGGGUCUUAAUUGACUUGGUAACGCAGCUAACGCGUGAAGUAGACCGCCUGGGGAGUACGGUCGCAA